GACAGAGGGGGCAAGCGUUGCUCAGAAUCACUGGGCGUAAAGGGCGCGUAGGCGGGAUGGCAAGUCAGUCGUGAAAUCUCUCGGCUCAACCGAGAAACGUCGGCUGAUACUGCCGUUCUUGAGGGAUGCAGAGGAGACUGGAAUUCCCGGUGUAGCGGUGAAAUGUGUAGAGAUCGGGAGGAACACCGGUGGCGAAGGCGGGUCUCUGGGCAUCUCCUGACGCUGAGGCGCGAAAGCGUGGGGAGCAAACGGG
This 253-nucleotide ribosomal RNA is filed under the name uncultured bacterium. RNAcentral's name for it is "partial 16S ribosomal RNA". It matches the Rfam family "Bacterial small subunit ribosomal RNA", at positions 524 to 776 of the family's 1533-position model. The record is from RNAcentral.